Long non-coding RNA from Mesocricetus auratus (golden hamster), 511 nucleotides. RefSeq lists it as uncharacterized. NCBI's taxonomy places the organism in Eukaryota, Metazoa, Chordata, Mammalia, Rodentia, Cricetidae. The transcript is spliced from 3 exons. The record is from RefSeq and is a predicted model, not a curated record.
GAAGAAGCAAUAAACACAUUCAGGGAAAGUUAGGACAGGAGAAGUGGAGACGGGAACAGAGAGAAGAGGGUGGGCUGACACUGGAAGGUUUUUCCACAUGGUGCCCAGGUCCAAACGUGCCAGGCUGAGUGUGGAAAACAACCGGCUUGAGAGCCAUGCUGUGGAGAACAAAGAGAUAGAGGGGCUAUUUGUUCAGGCUUCACUCUCCUGUACACAGGAAAUCCAGGAGGGAAAUGAGAGUAUGGAGAGCCCAGUAUGCCAACUGUCUCCAUGUACCCUGGCCCAUGUCAAGAGCUGAACGUUACUCCCGUGUUGUGCUCUGUCAGACUGAGUGACAUCUCGCCACACCUCAAAGCCUUCGGUCUUUCUUAAGUGCGGUGAGGCUUCCCCUAGCUCUUAGCUAGACCUUAAUGCAGACAAGCAAGUUCAUCAGAUGGCAACUGUCAUGACAACACAGCAAUCCAACCUUUUCCAGUCUUUGCCUCAAAAUAAAAGCAAACAGUAACAGCAA